AGAUAUUCGAGUAUAUGGGGAUAAAUAUCCUACAUUCAACGAUAGAUCGCGCUGAAAAAGGAAUGGGGGGCUAACACCCCCCAUUUUGUUCUUC
This 94-nucleotide small RNA is filed under the name Lonsdalea quercina. RNAcentral's name for it is "sraA". It matches the Rfam family "sraA". The record is from Rfam by way of RNAcentral. Lineage: Bacteria; Pseudomonadati; Pseudomonadota; Gammaproteobacteria; Enterobacterales; Pectobacteriaceae.